RNAcentral lists this ribosomal RNA (200 nucleotides) under uncultured bacterium. Its description in RNAcentral is "partial 16S ribosomal RNA". It matches the Rfam family "Bacterial small subunit ribosomal RNA", at positions 328 to 539 of the family's 1533-position model. The record is from RNAcentral.
ACGCUCGACACCUACGGGAGCAGCAGUCGGGAAUAUUGCGCAAUGGAGGAAACUCUGACGCAGUGACGCCGCGUGCAGGAAGAAGGUUUUCGGAUUGUAAACUGCUUUAGACAGGGAAGAAAGAAAUGACAGUACCUGUAGAAUAAGCUCCGGCUAACUACGUACCAGCAGCCGCGGUAAUCUGAGCGGGCUGGCAAGGC